This is a long non-coding RNA of Triticum aestivum (bread wheat), 878 nucleotides long. RefSeq lists it as uncharacterized. Lineage: Eukaryota; Viridiplantae; Streptophyta; Magnoliopsida; Poales; Poaceae. The transcript is spliced from 3 exons. The record is from RefSeq and is a predicted model, not a curated record.
UCCCUCCCCGCCUCCAGCCGCCCAUGAUUUCCCCGGCGGGCGAAGCCGGGCCGUGGGGAGACGACGCCAGGAUCUUCAGCGCGGGGCUUGAGUCCCUAUGGUCGCUCCUAUUCGGCACCCCGGAGGAGAUGGAGCCCAUGUGGUUGCCGCCCAGGGGACUCGACGUUGGCGCCGAGUCCGCCUCCGCGGUGACGGGGGCCAAAGGGGCUCGUCGCCGGCGACGAUCUAGGCGCCAUCCCCACCCACUGCGGCGCCGGCCUUGGCGGAGUUCGACCCCGCCGCGCCCCAUUCCUCGGGAGGCGCCCCAGAGGUACACCUCCAGAUUAUUGGCGUCAAGGUCAACGUUGCGCAAGAACAGAACAGUAAGCAGAUUGGUCCAUGAUUAGCGGGGUAUAGAGUAGAGAAACACGUAAUGUAAUGCUCAAGACAAACCGGCCAACCAGGGCAGCCAGCCACCCUGGCUUAGGUUGACUCGUUGCUGGGCCAACUAGCCGUUCAUCACACCGUACCAGGGCGGUGACCAACUGCGGCCGCGGUAGCGGAGAUCAACAGCGGCAAUAGUGGUGGUGUGGCGGAGGCAGUUUUGUGACGCGGACUGGUUACUCGGUUGCCCGGCACCGGCAGUGGAUCUGGAUUCCGGCGGCAUGGCGGGUCUUUACUGACCUUGUACGAGGAGUCCCCUGGCUUUUGAUGGCUUGAGCUGGCCAUCUUCUGUCAGCACGAGGUGCUUCGGUCAUAUCUUGCUGUGUGAACUAUGCGUGAUUUAUGAUGUUGUUGCUGUUGAAUAUCUGUCCAACUAUCUUAACUGAUGUGUUGUCGUUGGCCAUAUCUUGCUGCUGAUUCUGGGCUAUUGAUCAUGUGUUGUUGUUGGUCUUAAA